GACGAACGCUGGCGGCGUGCUUAACACAUGCAAGUCGAGCGGUAAGGCCCUUUCGGGGGUACACGAGCGGCGAACGGGUGAGUAACACGUGGGUGACCUGCCCUCAGCUCUGGGAUAAGCCCGGGAAACUGGGUCUAAUACCGGAUAUGACUCCACGGUGCAUGUCGUGGGGUGGAAAGCCUUGUGCGGCUGAGGAUGGGCCCGCGGCCUAUCAGCUUGUUGGUGGGGUGAUGGCCACCAAGGCGACGACGGGUAGCCGGCCUGAGAGGGCGACCGGCCACACUGGGACUGAGACACGGCCCAGACUCCUACGGGAGGCAGCAGUGGGGAAUCUUGCGCAAUGGGCGAAAGCCUGACGCAGCGACGCCGCGUGA
Molecule: ribosomal RNA, 374 nt
Filed under: uncultured bacterium
Lineage: Bacteria
Description: bacterial SSU rRNA
Rfam family: Bacterial small subunit ribosomal RNA
Source: RNAcentral